AACACCUCAUAGCUUCGGGCGAAAGUUUGACUCAUAAGAUGAUAAUAUAAUGGAACCAAUAUGAGGGUUAUAGAAAGUAUUUUGAAAACCAAUUAAGUCAUAAGAAAUAUCUUUGGGCAAAGAAAAGUUGGAAGCCACUCUACGGGGCAUGUUUGCAUGUGAGUUUAUAGAAGGUCUUACUUCCAAUGACCAUAACCCCUUUAUUAAUUGAGAAUUUGGGAAACCUUCCUUGAUGAAAGUUGUAUCCCUUUGAAAUAUCUUUUUAACCAUAGGUCGUGAGCCCUCAUAGAAUAUUGGGAUCAAAAGUUAUGGCCAUUAUACGACACACUGUCCGAGCAGAGAAUUUCUACGGACCAUUUGACGGUCCGUAGGAAAUUUUGACGGCCGUAAAACAGUUUGACGGUCCGUCAAAUUGACUCAGGCCAGCGUAAAAUGGUCAUAGAAACUCAUAUUUUGCUGGGCAGUUUUACGGACCAUUUUGACGGUCCGUCAAACAGUUUGACGGUCCGUAAAAAUGGGCGUAGAAUUGCCCGACGGGUCAGAUUUUAAGAUGUUAAUAAGAGACCCAAGCUCAUUUUUUUUCAUUCCCAUUUCUCCUCCAUGACUCAAGGGUUCUCUAGAGCCAUCCAAACACUUCAUAUGCAAGAAUCCAAGUGAAACUAAAGAUCCACUUCAUCAAUCCACAAAACUAAGUGUUAGAAACACAUCAAAUCCAUUCAAGUCAAGAAAUUCCAUGGAAGGUGGAACUAGGGUUUUGUUCAAGUGAAGCAUUUCAACUUAAGUCUUAUUCCUACAAUAACUAAGAUCAAAGUUGAAAGGGUUGACGAACAUUGUACUACGCUCAAAGUCUGGAAUUAAGGCAACGAUAUACAGGUUGACGACUCAGCUAUUUAGGAGUGCACGUAUCAGCUACUGGUGAGCCCCACAUUCCUUCGGGGCGUUGUCAGCUAUCCAGUUAUUUCAGUUUAUAGACAGCUCUAUUAUUCAGUACUCUUAGAGGCUUCAUAGACACAGUUCAGACAGUCAGAUAUUUAUUAUGUUAGCCUUGUUGGCAGUUGUUCAGUUGUUUUGGUUUAAGCCAUGUUGGCUACGUUCAGAUAUUUCAGAUUGUCUAACUAUUUUCGCAUUAUGAUUUCAGUCAGACCUUCAGUAUAUCAGUAUGUGUUUAGUUGUUUCCACGUUCAGUUAUGUU
Long non-coding RNA from Lycium ferocissimum, 1192 nucleotides. RefSeq lists it as uncharacterized. The record is from RefSeq and is a predicted model, not a curated record. NCBI's taxonomy places the organism in Eukaryota, Viridiplantae, Streptophyta, Magnoliopsida, Solanales, Solanaceae. The transcript is spliced from 3 exons.